AACGAACGCUGGCGGCAUGCCUAACACAUGCAAGUCGAACGAGACCUUCGGGUCUAGUGGCGCACGGGUGCGUAACGCGUGGGAACCUGCCCUUAGGUUCGGAAUAACUCCCCGAAAGGGGUGCUAAUACCGGAUAAUGUCUUCGGACCAAAGAUUUAUCGCCUUUGGAUGGGCCCGCGUUGGAUUAGCUGGUUGGUAGGGUAAAAGCAUACCAAGGCGACGAUCCAUAGCUGGUCUGAGAGGAUGAUCAGCCACACUGGGACUGAGACACGGCCCAGACUCCUACGGGAGGCAGCAGUGGAGAGUAUUGGAGAAUGGGCGAAGGCCUGAUACAGCCAUGCCGCGUGAGAGAUGAAGGCCGUAGGGUUGUAAAGCUCUUUUAGCCGGGAUGAUAAUGACGGUACCGGGAGAAUAAGCUCCGGCUAACUCCGUG
This 433-nucleotide ribosomal RNA is filed under the name uncultured bacterium. RNAcentral describes it as "partial 16S ribosomal RNA". It matches the Rfam family "Bacterial small subunit ribosomal RNA", at positions 29 to 507 of the family's 1533-position model. The record is from RNAcentral.